Molecule: ribosomal RNA, 387 nt
Filed under: uncultured bacterium
Lineage: Bacteria
Description: bacterial SSU rRNA
Rfam family: Bacterial small subunit ribosomal RNA
Source: RNAcentral
GUUGGACGCUGGCGGCAUGCCUUACACAUGCAAGUCGAACGGCAGCACGGGGGCAACCCUGGUGGCGAGUGGCGAACGGGUGAGUAAUACAUCGGAACGUGCCCAGUAGUGGGGGAUAGCCCGGCGAAAGCCGGAUUAAUACCGCAUACGACCUACGGGUGAAAGCGGGGGAUCGCAAGACCUCGUGCUACCGGAGCGGCCGAUGUCAGAUUAGGUUGUUGGUGGGGUAAAAGCCUACCAAGCCGACGAUCUGUAGCUGGUCUGAGAGGACGACCAGCCACACUGGGACUGAGACACGGCCCAGACUCCUACGGGAGGCAGCAGUGGGGAAUUUUGGACAAUGGGCGCAAGCCUGAUCCAGCCAUGCCGCGUGCGGGAAGAAGGCCU